GUGAAUCAUCGAAUCUUUGAACGCACCUUGCGCUCCUUGGUAUUCCGAGGAGCAUGCCUGUUUGAGUGUCAUUAAAUUCUCAACUCUGAUUCGAUUUGUUCGUACGUUGGAGCUUUGGGAUUGGACGUGCUGGCGUCGGUCGGCUCCUCUUAAAUGCAUCAGCGGAAUCUAACGUUUCGGACGUCAGUGUGAUAAUCAUGUUGCGCUGUCUGUCUGAUCUGAAAGCCCGCUCACAAUGGUCUUCGGACAACUUCAUAUCAAAUUUGACCUCAAAUCAGGUAGGACUACCCGCUGAACUUAAGCAUAUCAAUAAGGCGAGG
RNAcentral lists this ribosomal RNA (320 nucleotides) under uncultured fungus. Its description in RNAcentral is "eukaryotic LSU rRNA". The stretch from base 1 to 71 matches the Rfam family "5.8S ribosomal RNA", at positions 84 to 154 of the family's 154-position model. Lineage: Eukaryota; Fungi. The record is from RNAcentral.